AUGACAUACCAGUGCAGCCCGACGGCCGUGAACAAAGCAUCCUCAACCUCACGCACUAACAGCUUAGAUGUUGAGGAGCGCCUUGGCAGAGUCAAGUGUGGACAAUUAUCUAGGAAGCAAGUGAAUGGAAGUUCAAGUCACCAUACAGCAGGAUCCAUUGGAAUGCCAUUACGGGCCCCUUUUCAAGAUAUUACAAAUGUGGUUGACUCACAUAGUUUAUCAAAAGGGAAACAAGCACAAAAAAUUCUUGGUUCAGUGGAUCAUCCAAUUACUGGGACAAAACGAUCAAUCAAUCUAUCUGGCAUAUCCAUACAGUCAAAUACUCCUUCAACUGGACACGUAAGUCUACCAACAAAUGCUUCCGAGCGUAAGCGUUAUCGUGAUCGGGAAAGAUACUUGGAGAUGACUCCAGAAUAG
This 417-nucleotide ribosomal RNA is filed under the name Triticum aestivum (bread wheat). RNAcentral describes it as "partial small subunit ribosomal RNA". The record is from RNAcentral. Lineage: Eukaryota; Viridiplantae; Streptophyta; Magnoliopsida; Poales; Poaceae.